This 212-nucleotide non-coding RNA is filed under the name Niastella yeongjuensis. The record is from RNAcentral. Lineage: Bacteria; Pseudomonadati; Bacteroidota; Chitinophagia; Chitinophagales; Chitinophagaceae.
UACAUUUGCGCGUGUUAUGGUUCUCUUCCGGCCAGUUCGGGAGGGAUUAAAAGGGAACCCGGUGUAAGUCCGGGGCUGUCCCGCAGCUGUAAGUUUCGUGAAUGAUGAUCAUUCACAAGAGUUCAAUCUACAGCCACUUCCCGAAGUAUCGGGAGGGAAGGUGUUGAACAAAUGAAACGAGCCAGAAGACCUGCCAUUUCAAGCUUAUUUAU